UUCUAACCGUAAACGAUGACAACCAGCGAUUAAUCGGCGUUAAUAUAUGACCCGAUUAGCAGCUUCCGGGAAACCAAAGUUUUUCGUUUCCGGGGGAAGUAUGGUUGCAAAGCUGAAACUUAAAGGAAUUGACGGAAGGGCACCACCAGGAGUGGAGCCUGCGGCUUAAUUUGACUCAACACGGGAAAACUCACCCGGCCCGGACACCGUAAGGAUUGACAGACUGAGAGCUCUUUCUUAAUUCGGUGGGUGGUGGUGCAUGGCCGUUCUUAGUUGGUGGAGCGAUUUGUCUGGUUAAUUCCGAUAACGAACGAGACUCUGGCCUAUUAAAUAGACGGUAUAUUUAAAAGUAUAUCGCGCUUCUUAGAGGGACAAGCGGCGUCUAGCCGCAUGAAAUAGAGCAAUAACAGGUCUGUGAUGCCCUUAGAUGUCCGGGGCUGCACGCGCGCUACACUGAAAAGAAUCAGUGGGCGUUCGAACCUAGUUCGGAAGAACCGGGCAAAAGUCGU
This 509-nucleotide ribosomal RNA is filed under the name Dorylaimina environmental sample. Its description in RNAcentral is "SSU rRNA". It matches the Rfam family "Eukaryotic small subunit ribosomal RNA", at positions 1024 to 1555 of the family's 1831-position model. Lineage: Eukaryota; Metazoa; Nematoda; Enoplea; Dorylaimida. The record is from RNAcentral.